GUCUAUGGCCAUGCUACCCCGAGUAAGUCCGAUCCGAUCUGAUCUCGGAAGCUAAGCAGAAUCGGGCCUGGUUAGUACUUGGAUGGGAGACCACCUAGGAAGACCAGGUGCUGUAGGUG
RNAcentral lists this ribosomal RNA (119 nucleotides) under Pteropus alecto (black flying fox). The record is from RNAcentral. Lineage: Eukaryota; Metazoa; Chordata; Mammalia; Chiroptera; Pteropodidae.